CUACGGUGCUGAAGCAACAAAUGCCCUGCUUCCAGGAAAAGCCUCUAAGCCUCAGGUAACAUCAGAUCGUACCCGAAACCGACACAGGUGGUCAGGUAGAGAAUACCAAGGCGCUUGAGAGAACCCGGGUGAAGGAACUAGGCAAAAUGGUGCCGUAACUUCGGGAGAAGGCACGCUGACACGUAGGUGAAGCGGUUUACCCGUGGAGCUGAAGUCAGUCGAAGAUACCAGCUGGCUGCAACUGUUUAUUAAAAACACAGCACUGUGCAAACACGAAAGUGGACGUAUACGGUGUGACGCCUGCCCGGUGCCGGAAGGUUAAUUGAUGGGGUCAGCGCAAGCGAAGCUCCUGAUCGAAGCCCCGGUAAACGGCGGCCGUAACUAUAACGGUCCUAAGGUAGCGAAAUUCCUUGUCGGGUAAGUUCCGACCUGCACGAAUGGCGUAAUGAUGGCCAGGCUGUCUCCACCCGGGACUCAGUGAAAUUGAACUCGCUGUGAAGAUGCAGUGUACCCGCGGCAAGACGGAAAGACCCCGUGAACCUUUACUAUAGCUUGACACUGAACACUGGUCCUUGAUGUGCAGGAUAGGUGGGAGGCUUUGAAGUGUGGACGCCAGUCUGCAUGGAGCCGUCCUUGAAAUACCACCCUUUAAUGGCUGGUGUUCUAACGUAGACCCGUGAACCGGGUUGCGGACAGUGUCUGGUGGGUAGUUUGACUGGGGCGGUCUCCUCCUAAAGCGUAACGGAGGAGCACGAAGGUUGGCUAAUCCUGGUCGGACAUCAGGAGGUUAGUGCAAUGGCAUAAGCCAGCUUGACUGCGAGCGUGACGGCGCGAGCAGGUGCGAAAGCAGGUCAUAGUGAUCCGGUGGUUCUGAAUGGAAGGGCCAUCGCUCAACGGAUAAAAGGUACUCCGGGGAUAACAGGCUGAUACCGCCCAAGAGUUCAUAUCGACGGCGGUGUUUGGCACCUCGAUGUCGGCUCAUCACAUCCUGGGGCUGAAGUAGGUCCCAAGGGUAUGGCUGUUCGCCAUUUAAAGUGGUACGCGAGCUGGGUUUAGAACGUCGUGAGACAGUUCGGUCCCUAUCUGCCGUGGGCGCUGGAGAACUGAGGGGGGCUGCUCCUAGUACGAGAGGACCGGAGUGGACGCAUCACUGGUGUUCGGGUUGUCAUGCCAAUGGCACUG
RNAcentral lists this ribosomal RNA (1182 nucleotides) under Salmonella enterica. RNAcentral's name for it is "partial 23S ribosomal RNA". It matches the Rfam family "Bacterial large subunit ribosomal RNA", at positions 1577 to 2740 of the family's 2925-position model. Lineage: Bacteria; Pseudomonadati; Pseudomonadota; Gammaproteobacteria; Enterobacterales; Enterobacteriaceae. RNAcentral also lists the same sequence under 3 other names. The record is from RNAcentral.